RNAcentral lists this ribosomal RNA (2679 nucleotides) under Triticum aestivum (bread wheat). RNAcentral's name for it is "partial small subunit ribosomal RNA". Lineage: Eukaryota; Viridiplantae; Streptophyta; Magnoliopsida; Poales; Poaceae. The record is from RNAcentral.
AUGGGCUAUCAGGCGCGGUGGAUCCCAACUCUUGCGGGUGAAGGGCUCCAACUUUAUGUCUGGGUUUUUAGCUUGUUUACUGUUUGUGUCUUGUUCAGGAAGACGAGUGAGUGGCGGCUCCCUGAGGAUGCAAUAAAGUUUUCCCAACCUAGGCCCAGUUUUGGCGGUGCGUCUUCAUCGUUGAAGGGCAUGUGGAGAUUGAGAUGGUCGUCUCUGAGACGCACAGUUCAUAUAUAUAGGCUCCGAGGAAUGGAAGAGUGCAGCCACACUUUCUUCCAAGAGUUGAUCAAUAAGAAGCCCCCACCAGGUUCAAAGUGGUUGGUCACCGGUGAUUUUAAUCAAAUCUACCAUGCGCAAGACAAGAAUAAAACAAAUAUCGACCGAAGCUGUAUCGUCCGCUUUAGAAAUACGCUUAAUCUCUGCGAGCUCACACACAUCCUUCACGCCCUCUCAUCAUCCUUAUCGGACCACUGCCCUCUCCUCCUUUCAAAUGGCAAAGGCCCGCAGAGGUCAAAACCCUUCCGCUUCGAAAACUUUUGGAUCAAAAUGCCCGGCUUUAAAGAGGUAGUCCAGGGAGCUUGGAACACCAAUUCUGGUCACGCUGACCCAUACCUCAACCUCUUUCACAAGCUAAAAGAGGCUGGCAAAAAAUUAAGGAAAUGGAGUAGGACAAUGUUCGCGCACUUGAAGGUGCAGAUUCAUAUGGCCCUGGAAGUUAUUCUCCGCUUGGAUGUGGCUCAAGAUCUUCGUCCCCUAAGUGCCCGCGAGCGAGAUCUUCGAAAGAGACUUAAGCAGAAAGUGGGGGACCCAUUGUCCCCUCUUCUCUUUGUCCUAGCUAUCGAUCCGCUCCGCCACCUCCUCUGCAAGGCCACAGUCCAAGGGCACCUACACCCUCUCUGUGGUAGAUCUUCACCCAUCCGGGCCUCGCUCUACGCCGAUGAUGCCGCCAUCUUUGUGAAGCCCAUUAAGGAAGACGUCCAAUUCCUUGCUGCUACUCUGGCCUCUUUCGGAGCCGUGUCUGGCCUUGUCACUAAUUGUGCCAAAAGUUUGGUUGCUCCCAUCCGAUGUGACAACAUCAACCUUGACGAUGUUCUUCAUGCUUUUCCGACAGUGCGCACCUCAUUCCCGAUGCGCUACCUUGGACUUCCCUUAUCCGUCAAGCGCCUCAAGCGAAUCCACUUUCAGUAUCUUGAGAAUAAAAUUGGAGGCAAGCUCCCUCCCUGGCAGGGAAGACAUGUGGCCUCUGCUGGCCGUGUGGUCCUUGUAAAGGUUGUCCUUACCGCUAUUGCUAUUUAUCAUCUCAUGCCUCUCGACAUCCUGGUGGAGUUCCUCAAGAAAAUCGGUAGUAUUUGCCGUGCAUAUCUUUGGGCGGGCUCGGAUAAGAAGAACUCCUCGUUCCAGCAAGCCAUGACCAACAAUCUUUGGAUCACUUAUAUUGAUGGCACCAACGGUCUGUCCCUCGCACAUAUCAAGCAGUUUGCUGACCUUUGGGAAAGAUUAUCAUCGGUGGCCCUAGUGGAAGAGGUGGAAGAUUCGAUUAUUUGGAAGUUCACUAAGGAUGGGAUAUAUUCUGCUUCCUCGGCAUACAAGGCUAAAUUUGAAGACCGCUUGAUCCGUUGUGGCUGGCCCAACUACGGAUUGUGCCCUCUUUGUAAGCAUGCACAUGAGUCCGCUGCUCACCUACUCUUCCAAUGCCGCUUCACAUUGCGCAUUUGGAACGACAUCCUACCGUGGCUUGGAAUGCACCACAUCUCUACUACUUCAUGGUCGGCGAGCGCUUCGGUCAAAGAAUGGUGGAACGGUAACCUUCAGAUUCAUCUCAGCUCCCCCAAAGCCCUUGCCUCAUUGAUGAUGCUCAUCUCAUGGGAGAUUUGGUCCAAGAGAAACGCUAGAGUCUUCCGCAGCGUGGCGGUCCCUUCGGUGGUCAUCAUUAACAAGAUCAAGCAUGAGGUGUCGCUCUGGGUUUUGGCGGGUGCCAAGCACUUGGGUAUUGUAAUGCCGCGAGAAUUAGUCACGUACCCAACCUGGGCCAUCACCUCCAGACCGGGAGAUUUGUUCCUAUUAUUCCCCACCACUCCCUCACAAUCUCCUCCGUUCCCCAUUCUCUCCACCAUAGCCAGCGCUCCCUGGUCAGGCCGCCCCCUCCCCUUCGUCACCAUCGCCGGCGCUCCCUGGUCAGGCUGCCCUCCCCUUCGUCACCAGCGCGGCCGCUCUCUCACACCCCGUAGGUCAAAGGUUGAAUUUUUAUCCGCCGCUGAUGGUGCUGCUGGGCGAGGAGGCGCUGGAUGCGCGUGCGCCGGCGCUGGAUCUGCUCCGUCUGGCUCCGGCGACCUUACCCCGUGGCUCCGGGACAGGAAGGCUACCCCGACGACAUACAGGUCCGCCCCCUUCUCCUUUCCUUUUGGAUUUCUUCUUCUUCCCUUCCCUGAGAUGAGAUGUACGUUCCUGCCUCACGCACACAGCAACUGGACUCUAUGCACAGCGAGGAGGAUGAAGACACCCAGCCAUGGAUUUUUAGCAGCACUCACUCAAGGAAAAAGAGACCUCAACACGCCAAUGGAUGCAGCCAGCCUCCAACUCACCACGCACCUGCACCAACUUGAUGUAGGGAGAGGAGGAGUGAGGCUUCUCUCACGGGAUGACGCCCAGCCAUGGGGCAGCAACAAUCCAAGUGACUAA